Trichuris trichiura (human whipworm) is the source of this 73-nucleotide non-coding RNA. The record is from Rfam. Lineage: Eukaryota; Metazoa; Nematoda; Enoplea; Trichinellida; Trichuridae.
GCCCCGGUGGCGCAGUCGGUAGCGUGUGAGUCUGAUAAUCUCAAGGUCGUGGGUUCGGGACCCAUCCGAGGCA